UCCGUGAGGCAACUGGUGGAGAGAUCAGAAGCGAGAAUGUUGACAUGAGUAGCGACAAACAGGGUGAGAGACCCUGUCGCCGUAAAUCCAAGGGUUCCUGCUUAAAGCUAAUCUGAGCAGGGUAAGCCGGCCCCUAAGGCGAGGCCGAAAGGCGUAGUCGAUGGGAACAUGGUUAAUAUUCCGCGGCCAGGAGGAAGUGACGGAUCUCAAAGAUUGUCUGCCCUUAUCGGAUUGGGUGGGCCGUUCAGAGGUCCCUGGAAAUAGCCCUCCAUCAGACCGUACCCUAAACCGACACAGGUGGACUGGUAGAGUAUACCAAGGCGCUUGAGAGAACCACGUUAAAGGAACUCGGCAAAAUGCCUCCGUAAGUUCGCGAGAAGGAGGCCCCGUCUGUAGGCAACUAUAGGCGGGGGGCACAAACUAGGGGGUGGCGACUGUUUACUUAAAACACAGGGCUCUGCGAAGCCGUAAGGCGACGUAUAGGGUCUGACGCCUGCCCGGUGCUGGAAGGUUAAAAGGAGGGGUGCAAGCUCUGAAUUGAAGCCCCAGUAAACGGCGGCCGUAACAAUAACGGUCCUAAGGUAGCGAAAUUCCUUGUCGGGUAAGUUCCGACCUGCACGAUGGCGUAACGAUCUCCCCGCUGUCUCUAACGUGGACUCAGCGAAAUUGAACUGUGUGUCAAGAUGCACACUACCCGCGGUUAGACGGAAAGACCCCAUGAACCUUUACUCCAGCUUUGCACUGGCAUCAGGAUUGCGAUGUGCAGGAUAGGUGGUAGCCUUUGAAGCGGGGACGCUAGUUCCCGUGGAGGCUCCCUUGAGAUACCACCCUUCGCACUCUUGAAGUCUAACCGCGGCCCGUUAUCCGGGUCCGGGACCCUGCAUGGUGGGGAGUUUGACUGGGGCGGUCGCCUCCCAAACAGUAACGGAGGCGCGCGAAGGUAGGCUCAGACCGGUCGGAAAUCGGUCGUUGAGUGCAAUGGCAGAAGCCUGCCUGACUGCAAGACUGACAAGUCGAGCAGAGACGAAAGUCGGUCAUAGUGAUCCGGUGGUCCCAAGUGGGAGGGCCAUCGCUCAACGGAUAAAAGGUACUCUGGGGAUAACAGGCUGAUGAUGCCCAAGAGUCCAUAUCGACGGCAUCGUUUGGCACCUCGAUGUCGGCUCAUCUCAUCCUGGGGCUGGAGCAGGUCCCAAGGGUAUGGCUGUUCGCCAUUUAAAGAGGUACGUGAGCUGGGUUUAGAACGUCGUGAGACAGUUCGGUCCCUAUCUGCCGUGGGUGUAGGAGACUUGAGAAGAGUUGCCCCUAGUACGAGAGGACCGGGGUGAACGAACCACUGGUGGACCAGUUGUCGUGCCAACGGUAGUGCUGGGUAGCUAUGUUCGGACAGGAUAACCGCUGAAGGCAUCUAAGCGGGAAGCCCCCUUCAAAACAAGGUCUCCCUUGAGGGCCGUGGAAGACCACCACGUCGAUAGGCCGGAGGUGUAAGUGCAGCAAUGCAUUCAGCUGACCGGUACUAAUUGCCC
RNAcentral lists this ribosomal RNA (1523 nucleotides) under metagenome. Its description in RNAcentral is "bacterial LSU rRNA". It matches the Rfam family "Bacterial large subunit ribosomal RNA", at positions 1260 to 2910 of the family's 2925-position model. The record is from RNAcentral.